Molecule: long non-coding RNA, 399 nt
Filed under: Chinchilla lanigera (long-tailed chinchilla)
Lineage: Eukaryota; Metazoa; Chordata; Mammalia; Rodentia; Chinchillidae
Description: lncRNA (ENSCLAG00000025414.1)
Source: RNAcentral
GGGAUAAGGAGCAGUAGACUGUGCAUGUUUUAUGAUUUAUUCUCUCUUUUCAGCCCCUUCCAGUGCAGAGCAGUGUACUGGCAUCGGUCCAUCCAUGCUCAGAGGGACAAGCCUGGGGGAUCUUCCUUGGCUCGGAGAGAAGGCAGGCAGGGACACUGCCAUCAUUUCACUAACACCACAGUGUGGCCACCCAGAAGCAGGGCUCCUCUCCUACUUGCCUGUGCCACGCUCCGCUGAGAUAAACGGAGACGCGGCACCUCACAGAUCUGUCUAGGAACUCACAGUGAAGCCCCUGGCUUACCACAAGAAGGUGCAGUUUAGCAGUGGUUUCACAGUAGUGAAUACCUGUUAAAACAUCAAAGCUUAAAUUAUUAAAUAUUUAAAUAAAAUAAACAGUAA